GAUGAACGCUGGCGGUAUGCUUAACACAUGCAAGUCGAACGGACUCUUCGGAGUUAGUCGCGGACGGGUGAGUAACGCGUGAGAAUCUGGCUUUGGGUUCGGGACAACCACUGGAAACGGUGGCUAAUACCGGAUGUGCCGAGAGGUAAAAGAGAAAUUGCCUGAAGAUGAGCUCGCGUCUGAUUAGCUAGUUGGUGAGGUAAAGGCUCACCAAGGCAGCGAUCAGUAGCUGGUCUGAGAGGAUGACCAGCCACACUGGGACUGAGACACGGCCCAGACUCCUACGGGAGGCAGCAGUGGGGAAUUUUCCGCAAUGGGCGAAAGCCUGACGGAGCAAUACCGCGUGAGGGAAGAAGGCUCUUGGGUUGUAAACCUCUUUUCUUAGGGAAGAACAAAAUGACGGUACCUAAGGAAUCAGCAUCGGCUAACUCCGUG
RNAcentral lists this ribosomal RNA (435 nucleotides) under uncultured bacterium. Its description in RNAcentral is "partial 16S ribosomal RNA". It matches the Rfam family "Bacterial small subunit ribosomal RNA", at positions 28 to 507 of the family's 1533-position model. The record is from RNAcentral.